Molecule: ribosomal RNA, 207 nt
Filed under: uncultured Leptotrichia sp.
Lineage: Bacteria; Fusobacteriati; Fusobacteriota; Fusobacteriia; Fusobacteriales; Leptotrichiaceae
Description: partial 16S ribosomal RNA
Rfam family: Bacterial small subunit ribosomal RNA
Source: RNAcentral
GGGAAACGUUACUGAUAAUACUGGAUAAGUUAGUAUAUCGCAUGAUAUGCAAAAUGAAAGCUACGGCACUAAAGGAGAGCUUUGCGUCCUAUUAGCUAGUUGGUAAGGUAAGAGCUUACCAAGGCGAUGAUAGGUAGCCGGCCUGAGAGGGUGGACGGCCACAAGGGGACUGAGAUACGGCCCUUACUCCUACGGGAGGCAGCAGAG